UACGUAGGUGGCAAGCGUUAUCCGGAUUUACUGGGUGUAAAGGGCGAGUAGGCGGGAUGCCAAGUCAGCGGUAAAAAUGCGGUGCUCAACGCCGUCGAGCCGUUGAAACUGUUAUUCUAGAGUAUGGGAGAGGUAGGUGGAAUUCUUGGUGUAGGGGUAAAAUCCGUAGAGAUCAAGAGGAAUACUCAUUGCGAAGGCGACCUGCUAGAACAUAACUGACGCUGAUGCGCGAAAGCGUGGGGAGCAAACAGG
Molecule: ribosomal RNA, 252 nt
Filed under: uncultured bacterium
Lineage: Bacteria
Description: partial 16S ribosomal RNA
Rfam family: Bacterial small subunit ribosomal RNA
Source: RNAcentral